GGGGAGAGGAGGGGAGUUGAAAGCACCCUGACGGCGAUUGGAAGAGCAGGGGAGUGACGUAUAACGCGCCAAACCAAUUAAAAAGUCGUGUCCUGCCUCAACCGGAGAGAGCCUGAUGGGGGUGUCUGUCCGCGGGAAGCAGCGCAUGCGUGGUCAUCCGUUUCUGGAACAGUGUUGGAAUCCGAAGGCUGGAUGAACACUAUGGGAAUAUUCUCAGACGUCCAUCCCUUAGGAGUCCUGUUGAAGGACCUCCUAGUAGAAAGAGGGUUAGCGAGGAUCAUGAACCUGGGAUCAUUUAGCAGCAGUAGAUUAAAAUCUGCCUUUUCUGAUUCUACCUCAUUUUCACAUCAUCCCAAGAAGAGCCAACUCUGGUUCCAAAAAUUGAUCCUGGCAAGGUGA
Long non-coding RNA from Dermochelys coriacea (leatherback sea turtle), 399 nucleotides. RefSeq lists it as uncharacterized. The transcript is spliced from 3 exons. The record is from RefSeq and is a predicted model, not a curated record. NCBI's taxonomy places the organism in Eukaryota, Metazoa, Chordata, Testudines, Dermochelyidae.